GACGAACGCUGGCGGCGUGCCUAAUACAUGCAAGUAGAACGCUGAAGGAGGAGCUUGCUUCUCUGGAUGAGUUGCGAACGGGUGAGUAACGCGUAGGUAACCUGCCUGGUAGCGGGGGAUAACUAUUGGAAACGAUAGCUAAUACCGCAUAAUAUUUACUAUUGCAUGAUAGUCAGUUGAAAGGUGCAACUGCACCACUACCAGAUGGACCUGCGUUGUAUUAGCUAGUUGGUGGGGUAACGGCUCACCAAGGCGACGAUACAUAGCCGACCUCAGAGGGGGAUCGGCCACACUGGGACUGAGACACGGCCCAGACUCCUACGGGAGGCAGCAGUAGGGAAUCUUCGGCAAUGGACGGAAGGCUGACCGAGCAACGCCGCGUGAGGGAAGAAGGUUUUCGGAUCGUAAAGCUCUGUUGUAAGAGAAGAAAGAGUGUGAGAGUGGAAAGCUCACACUGUGACGGUAUCUUACCAGAAAGGGACGGCUAACUACGUG
Molecule: ribosomal RNA, 495 nt
Filed under: uncultured bacterium
Lineage: Bacteria
Description: partial 16S ribosomal RNA
Rfam family: Bacterial small subunit ribosomal RNA
Source: RNAcentral